AUUCGGGGUCACGGGGCCCGCGAACGAUCAGCUCUCCCAACUCCCCGUCGUGCCUUUUGCACUC
RNAcentral lists this transfer RNA (64 nucleotides) under uncultured eukaryote. RNAcentral describes it as "partial Selenocysteine transfer RNA". The record is from RNAcentral.